GCUUCAAUUCUAGGGUUUAAAUCCAAAAUGCCCUAAAACCCUGCUUCCUAUUCCAAAUUCCCAAAUUCCCAAAUUCUCAGAGAGCAAGCUAAAAUGGCGUGGCGAUCUGGGUCAUCGCUAUCAAGGUCUCUAAUCUCAACAGCAAGAGCUGCAACAAUCCGGUCAUCUCCAUCAAUCUCGUCCCUACCUCGCUCUCCGCUUCAUAAUCUCCGGACCAGCUCGCGCCGUUCCCUCUUCUCCCUCCCAGUGAAUGUGAGCCAAUUAGCCUGCGCGCAAUCGCUGAUGCCAUUGCACAGCGCACUAGCCUCGGCCCGGCUCACAAGCCACAUUUCCGUCGAAGCACGCCAUUGUUGCGAGCUGUCUCAGGGUACUUGAACAUGCUUCUGUUGGAUCAACACAGCAGCAGUUGUUGCUACAUUAGGUGGGGUUCCGAGGGUGAAAGAAUUUCCAUACUCCUUAUCUUUGAUAAGGUGGGUGUAGGAAGUAAUUUCAGAUUGUAGGGGAUAAGUUUACUUUCACAACUACUUUGUUCUUUCUCUUGUAAGCCAUUUUACUUGUGUAGGCUUUUAUGUUCAGAAUUACAAGAUCAUACAACUAUUUGUUAAUCUGUCUGAUCAUGUUGUUUUACUGUUAUUUGUUGCUAUCUGACUCUGUGGAUCCAAAUCGAAAUUUAAUGCAUGACAUAAAGGGGUUCAAUUUGUGUUCCCUCUAAGCUGCA
Non-coding RNA from Prunus avium (sweet cherry), 718 nucleotides. NCBI's taxonomy places the organism in Eukaryota, Viridiplantae, Streptophyta, Magnoliopsida, Rosales, Rosaceae. The record is from RefSeq and is a predicted model, not a curated record.